RNAcentral lists this transfer RNA (58 nucleotides) under Mustela putorius furo (domestic ferret). It matches the Rfam family "tRNA", at positions 8 to 63 of the family's 71-position model. Rfam says of the family: Transfer RNA (tRNA) molecules are approximately 80 nucleotides in length. Their secondary structure includes four short double-helical elements and three loops (D, anti-codon, and T loops). The record is from Rfam by way of RNAcentral. Lineage: Eukaryota; Metazoa; Chordata; Mammalia; Carnivora; Mustelidae. RNAcentral also lists the same sequence under 2 other names.
UGGCUCAGUCAGUAGAGCAUGAGACUCCUGAUCUCAGGGUCAUGAGUUCAAGCCCCAU